This 330-nucleotide small nuclear RNA is filed under the name Microtus ochrogaster (prairie vole). RNAcentral's name for it is "7SK RNA (ENSMOCG00000005583.1)". It matches the Rfam family "7SK RNA". Rfam says of the family: 7SK was discovered as an abundant small nuclear RNA in the mid-70s but a possible function has only recently been suggested. Two independent studies have found that 7SK RNA binds the CDK9/cyclin T complex (known as elongation factor P-TEFb). The record is from RNAcentral. Lineage: Eukaryota; Metazoa; Chordata; Mammalia; Rodentia; Cricetidae.
GGGUUUGAGGGCAAUCUGGUUGUGACAUCUGUCACCCCAUUGAUUGCCAGAGUUUAUUCAGCUGAUCUGGCUAGCUAGGAAUGUGUCCCCUUCCCCCCUUACCGCCACAUGUGUGCAUCCCUCCUGAAGCCGCAAACUCUAUCGAAGAGGAUAGAGAGGAGGACAGGUCUUGUCAAGUGUGGACACAUAGGUGCUCUCCCCAGUUAGAACCUCCAAACAAGCUAUAUUUUUUUAAGUGAGCCAAUUUUAAUUUAUAUUGGUGGUUCUGGAGAUUGCAUGCAGGGCCUUGCACAUGUUAGGCAAACAGUCUACUACUGAGAGUCAUUCCUA